This 254-nucleotide ribosomal RNA is filed under the name uncultured bacterium. RNAcentral's name for it is "partial 16S ribosomal RNA". It matches the Rfam family "Bacterial small subunit ribosomal RNA", at positions 524 to 777 of the family's 1533-position model. The record is from RNAcentral.
GACAGAGGGUGCAAACAUUGUUCGGAAUUACUGAGCGUAAAGCGCGUGUAGGCGGCUAAGUAAGUCGGGCGUGAAAUCCCACGGCUCAACCGUGGAAGUGCACUCGAAACUGCAUAGCUAGAGUCCUGGAGAGGAAGGUGGAAUGCUUGGUGUAGAGGUGAAAUUCGUAGAUAUCAAGCGGAACACCGGUGGCGAAGGCGGCCUUCUGGACAGUGACUGACGCUGAGACGCGAAAGCGUGGGGAGCAAACAGGG